GUGUGUGUAAAUGAUUCGAUACAGACUGGUAUCGAGGGAAAUUCUGCCUCAAAAUGGCGGAGAGCGCCAAACGCCGUUAGGAUGUGUAGCAGCGGCUUUUGCGCUAAUUUAUUGCUGUUCUCUCAUUCAUUCAACAAGCAUAAAUUGAGCACCUUUUUCAAGCCUCUGGCUGUGUGCUGGGCCAGGAGACACAGGGACGAUUGAGCCUCCUCCCGCGCCAUGCCCCAGGGCAGAGCUGGUGGACUGUCCUUUCCUGCCUUCUGGGAGACAGGAGACCUGAGUCGGGCAUCCUCUGAAAAGGAAAAAAAGAAGAAGUGAAACCAGGGUGGGACAAAAUAUAACAACGUGCCCAUCAAGUCAAGAGCCAGCACACACAGGACCAACCCAAGAAAGAGCUGACCCAGCCUGGCCACCACCACCAGAUGCCGGAGAGGCCCAAGGCGAGGGGCACGGCAGGCUGGAGUUGGGUGCAGAGCCUGGCCCUUCCCUCGCUGAGCCUCAGUUUCCUCACCUGUACAAGGGGUGCGGAAGCGGAGGGGAGUGAGUUACCCCAACUAAGAAUAGCUGCUGCCCCCUGUGCCAGCCCCAACUCCUCACAGGCUGUUUCCAGCUCCACACCCUCCGGGUCCCUCUGAGAGCCCUGUCACCUGAGCUGAGGGGGCCCAGACCGCCAAGUCCGGAGCCUGCUGCAAGCCCGGGUCCUGCCAUCCCAGGCCAUCCCUGAGCCUACCUACCACUCUAGGACCACUGUCCCCUCCUACUGCCAUCUGGAGGCCCUGAGGUCUCACACCUCCAGGCCCAGACACUGCUUCCCUCUCUCCUGCCAGAGCUGGGCUGUCCUUCCCAAAUAGGGGUUGGGGGGGGUGGGGGGGCAAUGCGUCUGUUUCAACCGUCCCCACAUUCGGAACAAUGCUCCUCUGUCAGCCCAGACGGGCCCUCAAAGCGAACUCCCCCUCUGCCCACAUGGCCCUCGGGCUGCAUCUCUGGUCUGGGCCAAUGGGCAGCUGCCACCCUCGGACUGAAUAUUCCCACUGCUGCCCCCUCCCUCCUCGCCAAGAACAGCCCCCUGUCCCGCUGCAGCCAGAGCUGCAUUUCAGAGCCCACAGUUGCCCACUCACAAACUCCCUCUCUUUAAAACACUCCACACAAAGCCGCUUUUAUCUGGUUCAAAAACAGGCUUUAAAAGCUUUAAAAGUCUUUGCAGUGGUUUCCCAUGUUCUGGUCUCUUUCAGAUGAUAAUGGUUUUAAUUAUAACAAUCAUUAUAGCAUAAUACCUUCAAUUUAGGCAAUCAGCUCCAUUCAGAAUAUUCAAACGGUGGGGGGAAGGGUGACUGUGGCACCGAGGCUUUCUCUGUGCUCGGUUUCAGAGAGAAGCUCCCUGGGCCCAGCAGGUGCUGGCUGCCGCGGGGGACGAGAGGCCCGCUCCUCGGAGAGCUGUGGGAGAAGCUCUUGAGCGGAAGUGCCUGGGCCUCCCGGGAGCAGCCUAGACGGAACCCACAGGGCUUCCAGCACAGGAAACCCCAGGGCUCCCCAGCAGGAACUCUGCAGCCCUCAGAGACCUGCCCUGGCUCCCUAUCCCCGAAAGCAUGGUCCAGUUCUUUAGUCCUCUCCUAUCCGACUCCAGGUUUAUCUUGCACAAAAUCCUUGCACGCACCACCCGCACCUGGCCCAGCGCAUGUACUCUUCAUGCACAGGAGACACAGCUGCCCCCACCUAUCAGGCACCAACCCAGUGCCAGGCACCAUGCUGGCAAUGUCUAAAAGUCCUACAUCCUGGCUUACCCAUCAGUCCCAGGCAAACUGGGAUGGUUGGUCACCUGGCGUGCUAGGCUCUGGACAUAUAGCCAUGACCCAGACUUCCUCCCCGACCUGAGCAAGCCCUGGGUCUAGAGGGGAGACAGAGCUUACAAAUAUUGACAACGUGGAACAUACUAGUGUCCUAGCACUGCUGUAACAAAUUGCCUCAAACUGGGUAACUUGAAACAACAGAAAUUUAUUCUCUCAGAGUUGAGGAGGCCAGAAGGCCAAACUCCAGGUGUUGGCAGGCUUGGCUCCUUCUAGAGGUUCUGGGGGAGGGUCUGUUCCUGCUGGGUUGCCAGCACCCCUGGGCAUCCCUUGACCUUCAGACAUGUCACUCCAAUGUCUGCCUCCAUCGUCAUAUGGCCUUCUCUGUGAGUCUCUGGGUCUUCUCUCCAUGUAAGACACUAGUCUUUGGAUCUAGGGCCCGCCCUAACUCCAAGCUGAUUUCCUCUCAAGAUCCUUAACUAAUUCCAUCUGCAAAGAUCCUAUUUCCAAAGAAGGUCACAUUCUAAGGUUAUGGGUGGACAUGAAUUUGGGAGGGACACUAUUCAACCCACCACAGGUGUGAACUGAAUAAAUGCCAACUGGGGGUCCAGAAAAAUCCCCUAGGAGCCCCAAGACUGGAGGGAGAAGGAAGUUUCAUUCAGUCGUUCCGCAAAUAAUCACCGAGCACCUCCUCCAUGCCAGGCCCUCUUCUCUAGGCUAGGAAGACGUCAGGGAACAAAACCAGGAAUCCCCAUGUUGUGGAGCUCACGGGAGCAGAGGAGGAAGCGCUGGGAGAAGUCUGGAAGGGUAGCUGGUAUAGAAGAGUGGGAGGUGGUUCUAGGUCAAGAACAACACUUGGUGGGUUGAAAAAUGUUCAAGUCUGUGUCCUUGGACAUGGGAGCAGAUGAGAGGGCGGUGUUGGUGAGCAUCCCUUAGCCCAGCAAUGGCUUCAGCCCAGACCCUGAGAACAGUGGUAGAGCUAAGGGGUGGCUGAGGGUGUCUUUGGGACCCCUGAGCUCCAUCACUGCCUCCACUUUGACAGGGCAGUUGACCGUGUUUCCCUGCUCAUGUGAAGUGCCACACAAACACAGCUAGGCCUCCAGGCCACUCUUCUGCAGACCCCUGCCCUGAGCCUCUCCAUCUGUAGAAACUCCAGAGCUACAGGUGGGGAACGCUGCCUCAGAGCUUGGUGGGCAGAUUGAGAAGUCUGGACUUGGUCCCCAGGGCUGUCCUCUGAACCUCAGCUCAUGGAACCUCGUAAGGAUCUAACACUAGUGGAAUCUUUCCCCAGGACCAGGCCCCUGCUGGGGCUUUCAGGGCUUUAAGGAUCACUGUCCUGAGAGUCUUAGAGUCCAGCUCAAGGCCUGCCUCCUCCAGGAAGCACUCCCAGACUUCUUCCUUCUUACAGCUGGUGAUUUCACUUGCUCUCACCUCUUCAACCAGACCACUGAUGUACUUCUGUUUUCUAUGAAAAGUGCGUUGUACAUUCCCAGCUCUCCAUCCGCUCCAGUCAGUGCCUCAGACCCUGGCCUCGAUAAAAUAAUGCACUAACUGAAAUCUCCCCACCAAGGAGCCCACCCUAGGACAGAACCAGAUGCUUCCUCAGUCCCCAUCUCCUCCUGCUUUAAGUGCUUGGCAGCCACCAAGAAAUGCAGUGUAGCUUUUCCUUUUUAACAAAGGGACCCUUCCUUCUUUGCUACAAAUAGAGUCAUCUGCCUCUAGGGCGCCGGGGUCCUGGGACUCAUAAACCACAGGUCAAUGCUAACCAAUGUGUUUCUUUCCUCAGGGCUGUAAUCUUUCAAAUGAGCCAUGGCCGGGCUGCGGGUCCCUCGAAGAUAAAUGUGCAUGCCGAUGCCUAUGCCUUCACCAACUUCCUGUCUCAGAAGACAUCUCAUGCACAUGCACACACACAUGCACACACACACACACACACACAUGCACACACACCUCCCGCGGCUGGCUGGCCUCUCAUCUCACUUGCACACUGGGGGCUGCACUACCUUGAGUGUAAUGUGUCCUGGCUCUCCCCUCCCUCUUCGAAGUCUGAAAAUGGCCUCUCUCCAAGCUGACAGAUGCCCAUUCUAUGCCCAGCCUGCCCUGGACUUAGACGCUCUACCUAUAUACCAGAUGCCAACUCACCAAACUGACCUGCCAUACACGGGAGGAGGGGCCUCACCCUGUCUCUGAGGAAUUAUUUAUGGAAAGAAAGUUUGGUUCUCGUCACUCCCUGCUGAAAACCUUGGCAUGGCUUCCUGUGACUUUUAGGAUAAAAACUCACAGCUCACCAGCCCCAGAGGUCCAUGUAACUGAGCUGCACCCCACGGGCCAGCUCUGAUAGCUCCCUAAAGGUGUCAAGCUCUCUCCUUUUCCAGGGCUUUCCCAUCUGGCCAGCUGACUCCUCAGGUCUACUUUAAACACAGCUUCCUCUGAGAAGUCUUUCCUACCUCCUGUGUAAUCCAAAUUUACUCUUUCUUUUUAUGCACUUUACUUUUUUCUUUAUGCAAUAAAGCAUAGUGGUUAGCAGUCGAGAAUUUGGAGUCAGACUUCCCGGUUCAAAUCCCAGGUCUGUUGCUUACUACCUUUGUGACGUGGGCUAGUUAUUUAACUUCUCUGUGCCUCCGUUUCCUCAUCUGUAAAAUGGAGCUAAUUCAUAGAGUUGUUAGGAUAAAAGGAGGUAAUCCACUUAAAGUGUUUUGAACUGUGUGGAGCCUGUAGUAAAUCAUCAGUAUCGGCUGUUACUAUUAUUAGCGUCGUUUGAUAAUCUCCCCUCACUCCCUUUGCUUUGCCUUCAUAGCCCUUCUCGCAGUUGGUGACUGCACAUCGACUUGGUGGUUAUUUGCUGACUGCUGAGAUGCCAGCUCCAUGAGUGAAAGGAGCCUGGAUGCCUGGCAUAGUACCUGGCACCAUAGGCACUCGAUAAUUAACACUCGUUGAUGAGAAAAGAAUCAUCACUGGUUCUGCGUUCAGGUGAGAGGGUGCUGCAAGGAGGGAGGUGGUCAGGAUCGCUGGGUAGUGACAAGCCGAGGCCCCACUGGGACACAGGUAGACAGGGCAGCCCAGGAGUCCACCUGUGGGCAGCCGGUGAAGAGCCAGAAAUGGAAGUCAGGCAGCCCAGCUGCCUCGAGGGCCAGCUCUGACUCUGACCCCUGUGUGGCCUUGGGCAGGCUUCUUAAGCUUUCUGAGCCUGUUACUUCAUCUGUAAAGCUCCAGUGGGAAACCUCGAGGAACCAGGUAAGGCAGUCUCCCCAGUGGAAGGAGCAACGUGAGCCCGUUCCCCUUUUACUGCUGGCCCGCUGCAGGCUCCUGCCUGUCCCCAGCAUCUGCAUUGCCAUCUGUAGAGUAUGUAAAUCCACACAAUUAAUAUUCUCCAUAAUCUUACAGCAACAAUUUUUCUUCACAAAUGUGUUCGGUUUCAGGGAAUGCGGCACGUUCUGGAGGCACAUUUACAUUUCAUUAUCUCUAAAAGCUUAACUACCGUGGCUAAUGCUAGAUUAAUAAGUAGCCCAUCGAACAACUCCUUUAAACAACACCACUUGCACAGUCUCGCUGGUCGUAGAAGAGGAUGCUUUCAUAUAGUGGCUGUGGCUGGGAAGGGGUCAGUCGAGUUAAGUAGGUCUAAUUUCUGUAUCUCCCACGAGACACUCUGUAUAUUGUUCUAGCCGAGCAAUUAAAUCUCAGCCAAAGCUGUCAAUUUCCUGGGCCUUUGUAAACCCGGGACUGGAAAAAGGUUCAAGUUAAGUCCAUGUGGGCCACCUGGGGGCUUCCCAAUCCCCACACCCAACAGGGCCCUGCCAGGGCUCUGAGCACAGCGUCUCAUAGACAGGACUGGGCAAUACUCACUUGCUCCUGGAGGCCUCAGGUACAACCUUGAAGAUAAAGAAAACAACCAGCCGCAUUUAGAGACGUCAAAGCCAGACUCUGGUUGGGCCCUGGGUCCACCUCCCAGAAGACAGCGCAUGAGGCCAAUGAGGCAACCACAGGUACCAGGCUCUCUCUAGGCCAUACCAGUAAUCUAAGCUCCCUGGACGUGCAUGCUUUCUAAAUCCCAAGAGUUGCUCUUUUGGGAGGUAUUUAUUAUUAUCGUAUUUUGCAACACAGAUGAAAGUACAAUUUCCCAGUGAACUAUCAAUGCAGGUGGAGGGUACGUUCCAGAAAUCACCUCCUCUAAACUUUCACCCCACCUGACUCCUUCCUCAGGGCUCCUGACAUUUCAGCUCAUGCAGUUGAUGGGGGUUUGGCUAUUGCAACGUCUCUUCAAUGCAAUGUUCGAUGUUCAUUGAAGGCCCACAAGGGUCUGCUCUCAGAACUUGGUCAUGGAGUGACACACAGGCCUUCUCCCAAGGGCCUGGGCUGCCCCCUGACUCUGCCCUCUGAUUGCCUCUACCCACUCUCUGCACCACCUCCUAGAGAUCCUUGCUCCCCCUGCACAAGCGCUCGGGCCCUGCCCAUGGUCUUCAGCACAGCAGACCCAGGCCCAGCUUUUGAGGAGUGGGCCAGGCCUCGGCUCCAGACCCGGGAGCCAGGGAGGAGCCCUGCUUGAGGAAGGCCCAUCCAUUGCUCCCUCUCCAAGAAACCAGGGUCCAGGGCCCCCGAAGUUCUGCCCCUCUGGCUGUUGUCCACUUCUGACCAUGUAGAUGCCCAGAAGCUAAGCCACCCACUGUCCACCAAUUCUCCUCCAAAGAGGGUCGGGCUCUCCCUGAGCUCUGGAGAACAGCACUGCUGCCCACCCAGGGCACAGGAUGACAAUUGCCCAGUGGCACCUAGAUUCAGUAGGCUCUGGGGGCAUUUUCCAGCUCCCUGGCAAGUAGGGAAAGAAAGGCACACCAGAGCACCUGUGGGAUCUUGCCCAAGCUCCACGGGUGGCGACUCCACCUCUGCAUCAGGAAUUGUCCUGUGUCCCCUGUGGAUAGCCCAGAAAUCCACCUCACAUCCUCUGGAAAGCUGACUCACCUAAUCACUAACAUCCUUCUUCCAGGUGUCCCACCGACAGCCUCCCUUUCCUAGGAAGGGCUGAGAGUCCCAUCACUUCGCAGGGAGUGAGAAUUCUGUCCCGCGAGGUGACUAACCAGCAGAGCUGCUGCUGAAGGUCACAUGGACAGGGAGGGAUGCGGCCAGAGAACACGGGAGGUCAUCCCUCUCCCCACCAUGGUGACCCUGGAAGAGCUCACAAGGGCAGGAGCCAGUCCUGCUGGCUAGACUCCCCCCGCAGCUCCGCAGCCAGAAACAGGGAGGUUAAUAAAACACAGGACGAGGCUCUCCCGAGAGGCUCUUGGCCGCCUCUGAAGUUUACAAAAGCAGCGCUUCUGAAGCCUCAAAGGCUGCCUGCCACGGCUCCCUGUGAAUUAUUACACUGCAGGUUUUCAGGACACUGUCUGCAAUGCCUUGGGAAUUAGAGUAAUUGUAUUUUAUCUGUUUGCCAAGAGUUUUCAGUAAACUCCUUUAAUGUACUUUAAAACUCACAGCCCCAAAUAGCAACACACGCCUUCUAGCUUCUGCACCAGGCACUGAAUAAACACAGGGUGAUAUAUGGGGCUGGGAGGGCGCCCCUCAUAUAUUUACACCCUCUACCAAAAC
This 7358-nucleotide long non-coding RNA is filed under the name Equus caballus (horse). Its description in RNAcentral is "lncRNA (ENSECAG00000058116.1)". The record is from RNAcentral. Lineage: Eukaryota; Metazoa; Chordata; Mammalia; Perissodactyla; Equidae.